This 656-nucleotide ribosomal RNA is filed under the name Salmonella enterica. Its description in RNAcentral is "partial 23S ribosomal RNA". It matches the Rfam family "Bacterial large subunit ribosomal RNA", at positions 2284 to 2925 of the family's 2925-position model. The record is from RNAcentral. Lineage: Bacteria; Pseudomonadati; Pseudomonadota; Gammaproteobacteria; Enterobacterales; Enterobacteriaceae. RNAcentral also lists the same sequence under 1 other name.
CUCCUCCUAAAGAGUAACGGAGGAGCACGAAGGUUGGCUAAUCCUGGUCGGACAUCAGGAGGUUAGUGCAAUGGCAUAAGCCAGCUUGACUGCGAGCGUGACGGCGCGAGCAGGUGCGAAAGCAGGUCAUAGUGAUCCGGUGGUUCUGAAUGGAAGGGCCAUCGCUCAACGGAUAAAAGGUACUCCGGGGAUAACAGGCUGAUACCGCCCAAGAGUUCAUAUCGACGGCGGUGUUUGGCACCUCGAUGUCGGCUCAUCACAUCCUGGGGCUGAAGUAGGUCCCAAGGGUAUGGCUGUUCGCCAUUUAAAGUGGUACGCGAGCUGGGUUUAGAACGUCGUGAGACAGUUCGGUCCCUAUCUGCCGUGGGCGCUGGAGAACUGAGGGGGGCUGCUCCUAGUACGAGAGGACCGGAGUGGACGCAUCACUGGUGUUCGGGUUGUCAUGCCAAUGGCACUGCCCGGUAGCUAAAUGCGGAAGAGAUAAGUGCUGAAAGCAUCUAAGCACGAAACUUGCCCCGAGAUGAGUUCUCCCUGAGACUUAGAGUCUCCUGAAGGAACGUUGAAGACGACGACGUUGAUAGGCCGGGUGUGUAAGCGCAGCGAUGCGUUGAGCUAACCGGUACUAAUGAACCGUGAGGCUUAACCUUACAACGCCG